GGGAUUGAGGGGUAUUAUGUUUAGUCCACAUGAUGUGGGGGAUCACAGGGAGAACAGUGUAGCACAGAGAAGGCAAAUAGUGAACCUGUGGCAUCUUACUACACUGAUGGACAGUGACUGCAAUGGGGUAUGGGUGGGGACUUGAUAAUAUGGUUAAAUGUAGUAACCACAUUGUUUUUUCAUGUGAAACCUUCAUAAGAGUGUAUAUCAAUAAUACCUUUAUUUAAAAAAAGACUGUUAAUGUAGGCUUCUUAGCUUUCUUAAUAUUGGGUGACAUCUUGUUAAAAAAAACAUUUUUUUGAGUAGACUUUCAAAUAUCCCAUCCCUAGUUGUGAUUGAUUACAAAUUCUUUCCUCCCUGCAUGCCUAUCCUUUGUGAUUUUGCAGCUUGUUCUAUCAAGAGGGGGUCUAUUUCCCCACCCCUCAAAUCUGGGUUUGGCUUUGACUAAUGUGACAUUAGAAAACAUGAUACAAGAAGAGACCUGAAGAGUGCCUGUGCGUUGGGACUUGCCAUCUCUUGCUGCUCUUGGGAACCUUGUGACCAUCACCACGUGGAAAACCAGAAGCCUAUCAAUUGCUUAUUGCUGCAUGAAGACUUGUCCUGUAUUGACCCUCUAAGGACACAAAUGAGCCACAUGCUCAAAGGAAGAGAAUAGAAGUCCUGAUCAUAGGAGAGUGAAACUGUUACCUCAUAGGGCCUCAGCACUAACCUCCUUCAAGCCUGCAGAUGGCUGGUGAGUAGAUCCUUUUGGAUCAAUGCAAAAAUUUACCUCUCGUUGAAGAGCUGAGAAUAUUCCAUCCUCCGCUGCUUAUGGAACACCUCACAAGGCAUUUACCUGCUCCCUGUCAAUGAAGUUUGUAUUCUUUGUUC
Molecule: long non-coding RNA, 870 nt
Organism: Manis pentadactyla (Chinese pangolin)
Lineage: Eukaryota; Metazoa; Chordata; Mammalia; Pholidota; Manidae
Exons: 3
Source: RefSeq, a predicted model, not a curated record